AAGCUCGUAGUUGAAUUUCGGGAUCAAUGUUUCGGUCAUGCCGUUGGUAUGUACUGAUAUUAUUGAUUACUCACCUUCUAAAGAACCGUAAUGCCAUUAAUUUGGUGUCACGGGGAAUUAGGACUGUUACCUUGAAAAAAUUAGAGUGUUUAAAGCAGGCUCACGCUUGAAUACAUUAGCAUGGAAUAAUGAAAUAGGACAUCCGAUUCUAUUUUGUUGGUUUCUAGGAUCGAUGUAAUGAUUAAUAGGGAUAGUUGGG
Molecule: ribosomal RNA, 259 nt
Filed under: uncultured Glomus
Lineage: Eukaryota; Fungi; Glomeromycota; Glomeromycetes; Glomerales; Glomeraceae
Description: partial 18S ribosomal RNA
Rfam family: Eukaryotic small subunit ribosomal RNA
Source: RNAcentral